UAAGUUACAGUAAGUUAGUGGUUAACUGAGCUACUGAAGAUUGUACUGAAGAUGCAUGAGUAACAGUAAUCUAUUGUUGUUUUGGAGGUGUUGAUUGCCAUUGUGCAAUUUGAUUCCGUUUUAAAAUAAUGCACAUCUUGGUUUGGUUCAGUUUGAACGUGUGCAAUCAAAUUGAUUUGAAGUAGAGCUGGAUCCACGGUGAGAAAUGGAUUUAUAAUAGAGCUGGAUCCAUUGUUCUGAGUUUCUUAUGCAGUAGGGUUGGAUCUUUAGACUCACAACAUUUCUUUUGCUCUGAUUCAGGUUCGUUUUUGUGUAUUGCUCUUUACUGUCAAGUCUGGAGUUGGUGGUUCUUGAGUGAGCUGCGGAAGCUACUACCGUCUGUUAUCUGCUCCAUCUGUGCGCCGACGAACAAGUUAAUUAGGUGGCUUGGUGUGUGCUUGUCGACCGCCAUGGCCGACAACUCAUCGUCCUCGACAUUACAUUCCUUUGCACAUGUGUUUGGCCAUCUUUUGGUGCAUGCGAUGGUCUUGUGGACUGCUGUGUUUGUUGUUUGUGAUUCAAGCCAUCACUAGCUACUGUGAUAUGUUGUGCAAACUACUGUCAUCUCUAAGAAUUAUGUAACAUUCUUUAUGUUGACUACAUAUUAGUUACACUGAUGCACUUUUGGUUCUGGAGCUUUAGCAGAACUAUAUGGUUUGCUUUUGCUAUCUAAUAACCCAACUAUAGUACUUGCUGAGGACCCAUCAUCUUGGCUUAAUUCUGCAACCAAUUAUAUAUCUGUAUUUCCAAUUUGGCAUGAACUUCCACAUCAACUGUUCUAUUUUGCAUCCUGCUUGCUUUGCUUUUGUUAUAUCCAAUUUUACUGCCCCUUUGUAUUGCUUUGAGAAAAUGUUCCAGGC
Molecule: long non-coding RNA, 899 nt
Filed under: Triticum aestivum (bread wheat)
Lineage: Eukaryota; Viridiplantae; Streptophyta; Magnoliopsida; Poales; Poaceae
Description: long non-coding RNA (TAES_LNC028653)
Source: RNAcentral